UAUUACUCAUUCCAUUUAUUUCGCACAUGGUUUUUGGCUAUAUAAUUGACCUUUCGUAAGACAGAGAAGGAAGAAAAUCUCGAUACCUAGUGAAAAUACGAUGCUGAUGGAAAACAUACGAAAAUUCGUUUUGGAUUAUCUUUGGAGAUAUAAUCCUCAUAAUGAAAUGUGUAGAUACCGCAAUAUGUAUGAGACAAACAAUCGUUGGCGUUUUUAUCAUUUUAACUUCCAAAGAAGUAACGUUAGUUUGAAAAAUAAAAAUAAAACAACUUUGUUUACCUUUAAUACUUCGAUAUAAAAGCUUAUUUAAAAA
Cinara cedri is the source of this 313-nucleotide non-coding RNA. The record is from the annotation of a GenBank genome assembly. NCBI's taxonomy places the organism in Eukaryota, Metazoa, Arthropoda, Insecta, Hemiptera, Aphididae.